This 76-nucleotide transfer RNA is filed under the name Deltaproteobacteria bacterium RBG_16_58_17. Its description in RNAcentral is "tRNA-Asn". It matches the Rfam family "tRNA". Rfam says of the family: Transfer RNA (tRNA) molecules are approximately 80 nucleotides in length. The record is from RNAcentral. RNAcentral also lists the same sequence under 1 other name. Lineage: Bacteria; Deltaproteobacteria.
UCCCCAGUAGCUCAGCCGGUAGAGCAGAUGGCUGUUAACCAUCGGGUCCGUGGUUCGAGUCCGCGCCAGGGAGCCA